GCCAUGGAUUCGCCGCCAGAGUAAGACAUGCUGCCAAAACUUAGCCGAACAGGACCCCAAGGCAGGAACCUAAAAGCAGGACUGAAGCAGAGGUCCUGGAGGGAGGAAUGAAGACUUGUUCAACCUGCUCUCUUAUAUAACCAAAGUCUACAAGCCUGGGGGUAGCAAUGCCAACACUGGGCUGGGCCCUCCCACAUCAAUCAUUAAUCAAGAAAAUGUGGCUGGAAUGUGGUGGGUGGCCUUUAAUCUCUGCAACUGGACAGUGGCAGGCGGUGGUGGUGGCGAUCUUUAAUCCCAGCACUCCCAGAAGCAGAGGCAG
Long non-coding RNA from Arvicola amphibius (Eurasian water vole), 319 nucleotides. RefSeq lists it as uncharacterized. The record is from RefSeq and is a predicted model, not a curated record. NCBI's taxonomy places the organism in Eukaryota, Metazoa, Chordata, Mammalia, Rodentia, Cricetidae. The transcript is spliced from 3 exons.